AGCUCCAAUAGCGUAUAUUAAAGUUGUUGCAGUUAAAAAGCUCGUAGUUGAACUUCUGCGUACACUCAGUUCUGGCCUUGGUCAAGCUGUUUCGUGCGCAUCCGCUUGCAAACCCGGACCGGCCUUUACUGUCCGACCGGGGGAGUAAGCCCUUUACUUUGAAAAAAUUAGAGUGUUUCAGGCAGGCAAUGGCUCGAAUACAUUAGCAUGGAAUAAUGGAAUAGGACUUUUGUCCAUUUGGUUGGUUAUUGGACAUGAGUAAUGAUUAACAGGGACAGUUGGGGGCAUUAGUAUUUAAUUGUCAGAGGUGAAAUUCUUGGAUUUAUUAAAGACUAACUUAUGCGAAAGCAUUUGCCAAGGAUGUUUUCA
This 369-nucleotide ribosomal RNA is filed under the name uncultured eukaryote. RNAcentral's name for it is "SSU rRNA". It matches the Rfam family "Eukaryotic small subunit ribosomal RNA", at positions 587 to 972 of the family's 1831-position model. The record is from RNAcentral.